GACGAAGGAUGCAAGCGUUAUCCGGAUUCAUUGGGUUUAAAGGGUGCGUAGGUGGGUUGGUAAGUCAGUGGUGAAAUCUCCGAGCUUAACUUGGAAACUGCCAUUGAUACUAUCAGUCUUGAAUAUUGUGGAGGUCAGCGGAAUAUGUCAUGUAGCGGUGAAAUGCUUAGAUAUGACAUAGAACACCAAUUGCGAAGGCAGCUGGCUACUCAUAUAUUGACACUGAGGCACGAAAGCGUGGGGAUCAAACAGG
RNAcentral lists this ribosomal RNA (253 nucleotides) under uncultured bacterium. RNAcentral describes it as "partial 16S ribosomal RNA". It matches the Rfam family "Bacterial small subunit ribosomal RNA", at positions 524 to 776 of the family's 1533-position model. The record is from RNAcentral.